Ailuropoda melanoleuca (giant panda) is the source of this 3922-nucleotide RNA transcript. It is a transcript of the gene named cytochrome P450 family 4 subfamily V member 2, with no coding region annotated. The transcript is spliced from 12 exons. NCBI's taxonomy places the organism in Eukaryota, Metazoa, Chordata, Mammalia, Carnivora, Ursidae. The record is from RefSeq and is a predicted model, not a curated record.
GCAGCACUCAGCGGAACCCUGCAGCUGUUUUCCAGGUCUUUCGGUUUCUGCUUGUCCAUAUAAAGGGCGCGUGUGCAUUACGUAGGUUUUUGCCGAGCUCAGUAACAACCCCGCGGUGCUUUUCUUGCAGCCGGGUGGCCCCCGCAGCGGGAAGCCCCGGUCUCGGGGUCCCGGCUUCAGGGAGGCCAGGCUGGGCCUGUGCUCGGUGGGGGAGGAGGAAGAAGAGAGCGGGCCGGGCACAACCUCUUCCCCUAUGGGACGCGCUGGCAUCCCUGCGGCGUCCCGGAGCUCCUCCCAGGACCAGGGCGCUUGCACUCCAGCGGCGGGACCGGCCCCCGGCUCCUGCCCUCCCGGCAGUCUCGGUGCGGAGCGGAGCGGACCGCAGGCGCGAUGCUGGCGCUGUGGCUGGGGCACUUGGGGCAGAAGCUGCUGCUGUGGGGCGCGCUGAGCGCCGUGUCGGUGGCGGGCGCCACCCUAAUCCUGAACCUGCUGCAGAUGCUGGCGAGCUACGCGCACAAAUGGCAGCAGAUGAGGGCCCUCCCCACGCUACCCGGCGCCUACCCGCUGGUGGGACACUCGCUGGUGAUGAAGCCCGACGGGAGAGAAUUUUUUCAGCAGCUCAUUUGUUACAGCGAAGAAAACCGACACCAACCACUACUGAAACUCUGGCUUGGGCCCAUACCAAUAGUAGCCAUUUAUAAUGCAGAAAAUGUGGAGGUCAUUUUAACUAGUUCAAGGCAAAUUGACAAAUCCUAUGUGUACAAGUUCCUGGAACCAUGGCUUGGCUUAGGACUUCUUACAAGUACUGGAAACAAAUGGCGAUCUAGGAGAAAAAUGUUAAUACCCACUUUCCAUUUUACAAUUCUGGAAGACUUCUUAGAUGUCAUGAAUGAACACGCAAAUAUAUUGGUUAAUAAGCUUGAAAAACAUGUUAACCAAGAAGCAUUUAACUGCUUUUUUUACAUCACUCUUUGUGCUCUAGAUAUAAUUUGUGAAACAGCUAUGGGGAAGAAUAUUGGUGCUCAAAGUAAUGAUGAUUCUGAGUAUGUCCGUGCAGUUUAUAGAAUGAGUGAUAUGAUACACCGAAGAAUGAAGAUGCCCUGGCUCUGGCUUGACUUUUUGUUUCUCAUGUUUAAAGAAGGACGGGAACACAAAAAGAGCCUAGAGAUCCUCCAUAAUUUUACCAAUAAUGUUAUCACUGAACGGACCAGUGAAAUGAAGAAAGACAAAGAACGCAGAAGUGCUGACAAGGACUCUUCCCCCUCCAAAAAUACGCGCAGGGCUUUUCUAGACUUGCUUUUAAAUGUGACCGAUGAUGAAGGGAACAAGCUAAGUCAUGAAGAUAUUCGAGAAGAAGUUGACACCUUUAUGUUUGAGGGCCAUGAUACGACAGCAGCGGCAAUAAACUGGUCCUUAUAUCUAUUGGGUUCUUACCCAGAAGUCCAGGAGCAAGUGCACAGUGAACUGGAGGAAGUGUUUGGGAAGUCUGAUCGUGCUGCUACCUUAGAAGACCUGAAGAAACUCAAAUACCUGGAAUGUGUCAUUAAGGAGAGCCUUCGCAUUUUCCCUUCUGUUCCUUUAUUUGCCCGUAAUCUUAAUGAAGAUUGUGAAGUUGGGGGUUACAAAAUUGUAAAAGGCUCUCAAGCCAUCAUCAUUCCCUAUGCACUGCAUAGAGAUCCAAGAUACUUCCCAGACCCUGAGGAGUUCCAGCCAGAGCGGUUCUUUCCCGAGAAUUUGCAAGGACGCCAUCCAUACGCAUAUGUGCCCUUCUCUGCUGGACCCAGAAACUGUAUAGGUCAAAAGUUUGCCAUAAUGGAAGAAAAGACCAUUCUUUCCUGCAUCCUGAGGCAUUUUUGGGUAGAAUCCAACCAGAAAAGAGAAGAACUUGGUCUAGCAGGAGAGUUGAUUCUUCGUCCAGCUAAUGGCAUCUGGAUCAAGUUGAAGAGGAGAAAUGCGGACGAAUCCUAACCAUAUAAUUGGACUGUGCCUUUGUCAUGUAAAAAGUCUUUUCUUGAAGGAAGCUGGGUUUACAAUUUCUUGAUCAGAGUUCAAUACUCUUAGUCCCUAGUCCUAUUUCUUUCUUGUCCCCGCUUACCUUGAGGUUAAGUCCACCAAAGAGUUUGAUUAUUUUCAUCAUUACCAUCGAUCUUAACGCUUGGCCUUGAUCCCAGAAGUAGAGUUAACUGCUGAUGGCACCACGUAAAUAAACAUCGGACAGGUUUCUCAACAGAGGGAUCCACAGACCAACUCAAUUUCAAUUGGCAGAUCCAAAGGAUAUAAUUUAAUUAAAGUUCCAGAAUUUUUUAAGACUGAUUUUGAGUUUUCCUGACUCUGAAGAAUUAACCAGAGGAGAAGUGGAAAUACCAGCACAUUUUGCUCAGCUGAUAGCAGAAAGUGAAAUCUCCCACAGAGGCCUGGGAAUCAGCCAAACCAUCAGCAUUACUGGAUCUCAGGCAUUUUAGUCUAGAAACCUUCCCGGGUGACGGACUAGUGAACCAACUGGUGCUCUACUCGUUGUCACAGACAACUCAAGAGUGUCGGUUUCUGAACCAAGUGACCCAUCUCACAGUGAAAGAGAUGCUGUGCACCAAAAAAAAAAAAAAAAAUCAAUUUUUACCCUGGAAUGUAUCUGGACGACCAAACUGUUUUUCUUUCCAGCAUCUAAUGAGAUGCUGGCAGGCACAUGACAAAUUUUUUAGUGUGUCUGGAAACCUCCCUCCAACCAUUUUUUUAAAGGAACAGCACCCUCUUUAUCUUUGGAACUAUCCCAUGAUAAAUACCUCCCCCCUUUAUCUUCCGUUUCUCACCUUUUUGCUUCCCCAACACCUGUACGGUCAAUAUGCAGUUCUAGCUGACGAUGCCGUGUUCUUAGGCAAUGUUGCUCUCUUGACUUAAGUUGAUCGACCCAAGCGGGGUCCACUCAGAGUUCUCCCCUUGGGAAUUGGUGGAGGUUUCAAGUUGUGAGACUGGGGAUCAAUUGGUAGUUGAGCCUCUGGAGCAGAGACUAGGAGAUGGGAAGAAGGUGAUGGGUAAAGAAGAAGCAGAGGAAAGAAAUGGAGAGAAUCCUGGAGGGUCCACAUCCCACGUUCCAGGUGGUGUGGAAGCUCACCUGUGUGCCUGCCCUGUGCACUGUUGAGUUGUUCACCUCUACCCUGGAGCCCAAGGGCCAGGCUAUUGUCAUUUUGCUUAGGCUGAUUGUCUUUAUUUCUAACCAAAAGCAACUUAGUGUUGGUCAGCUCAGCUGUGGGAUGAAGAAAGGUGCGCUAUUCUUUGGACAUGAUCUUAGGUCUUCAUCUUUCCUUUGUGCUGUUCAGUACUUCUCUAGGCUGAAUAACAUCAGCCAAUAACAGAUGUCUGCUAGUCAUUUAAAUGCAAUAGAAUUUUUAAAAAUUAAGAUGUAAUUGACAUGAUAUUAAUUUCAGGUAUAUCGCACCAUGAUUUGAUGUUAGUAGGUAUGUGAAAUGAUAAAUGCAAUAGCGUUUGAGGAAAUGCGGGGUUUCCAUCUUUUCUCGAUGGUAGGAAAAUUAAAAGCCUAGUGCUUUAUUUUAGAAUACACCUGGGAUUAGCCUAACACAAGAGUCUAGUUUCUUAGCUCCAUCCUGAUGUAUUCCCCAGAUGAAGUUCAUCAUUUUUUCUUGCUUUAAUUAAAGCAGAUUCACCCCAGUUUUCCUUCUAGCUAGCUGUAGUCCAAAUUCCAGGGACAAAUCUCUCAUCUGUAAUUACUACACAUGGACUCUGUAUUCUCUCCUUUGCUUCUUGGGCAGAAAUUCACCAAAUGGGGCAUUUCUUUGGGCCUUUUACACUGAAUUCAGUUUCUAAAUUUACUCCCAGCCUGUAGCUGUCCCCCCCCCCGCCCCCCCGCUCUCUUGAUCCCAUAAGACACCUUCUGGCACCUUCUUUUCCCUUCCCAUCACUCCCUGCC